Molecule: long non-coding RNA, 265 nt
Organism: Uloborus diversus
Lineage: Eukaryota; Metazoa; Arthropoda; Arachnida; Araneae; Uloboridae
Exons: 3
Source: RefSeq, a predicted model, not a curated record
CAUUGCAGUCGUAUGAAGAUUUGGUUGCACGUUUAGAGCCAGUUAUAAUGGAAUUGGAGCGACAAGAAAACGUGUUGGUUGUUGGUCAUCAAGCUGUCUUGAGAUGUAUUUUAGCUUACUUUUUAGACAAGCAUUCUGAUGAGUUGCCAUACUUACGAGUCCCAUUGCACACAGUAAUCAAGUUGACACCUGUUGCUUAUGGGUGUGAAAUGGAACUUUUUAAACUUCCAGUAGAUGCAGUGGACACACACAGGGACAAACCGAA